GAUGAACGCUGGCGGCGUGCCUAACACAUGCAAGUCGAGCGAUCUUCUUCGGAAGAGAGCGGCGGACGGGUGAGUAACGCGUGGGUAACCUGCCUCAUACACAUGGAUAACAUACCGAAAGGUAUGCUAAUACAAGAUGAUAUAAGAGAUUCGCAUGGAUUUCUUAUCAAAGCUUUUGCGGUAUGAGAUGGACCCGCGUCUGAUUAGCUAGUUGGUAAGGUAAUGGCUUACCAAGGCUUCGAUCAGUAGCCGACCUGAGAGGGUGAUCGGCCACAUUGGAACUGAGACACGGUCCAAACUCCUACGGGAGGCAGCAGUGGGGAAUAUUGCACAAUGGGCGAAAGCCUGAUGCAGCAACGCCGCGUGAGCGAUGAAGGCCUUCGGGUCGUAAAGCUCUGUCCUCAAGGAAGAUAAUGACGGUACUUGAGGAGGAAG
RNAcentral lists this ribosomal RNA (435 nucleotides) under uncultured bacterium. RNAcentral describes it as "bacterial SSU rRNA". It matches the Rfam family "Bacterial small subunit ribosomal RNA", at positions 28 to 490 of the family's 1533-position model. The record is from RNAcentral.